AAGAAGCUAAGAAGGCUGCAGCUUCCACCGGGCCUCUUGGGCUGCGUACUCUUGACACUCCUGCUCUGAGAACUAAGCAGGCAUAUUUCAUAUCAAAAUAGUAAAGAACUUCCUUUCCAAAGGCAGGACUUGCUUCUGUGAGGUACUGAGCCACCCGUCCCUGGAGGAAAGCAAGAAUAGAGCAGAUCAGAGCCCAGGAAGACAUCUUGGAUGAUGGGGUACAUCUUGCCAUCCAGAGGCAAUGCUGGAGCGGGCAGUUGUCUGCGGGGAGGCCCUGGCUCACUCUGGGCCAAAUAACAGGACUGAUUGCAGCCAGCGAUGAAACAUCCUGUUUCUCCCAACCAGAAACAGGAGAGAAGAGCCCCAGUGAGAGAGUGAAGCAGAUGAAAAGAUAACAUGAAAACCAACCAAGCAACGAACAAACAAACAAAAUAACCCAUUUCAAGUUCUCGGAGCCUGGUCUCAUUUCCAGCUGGAAAUUACUGCUGCAGACUGCAGGGUGGUCCCUGCACUCCCUGUGUAUAUGAUCUAGUGGUUGCUAAUGUC
Molecule: long non-coding RNA, 546 nt
Filed under: Pan troglodytes (chimpanzee)
Lineage: Eukaryota; Metazoa; Chordata; Mammalia; Primates; Hominidae
Description: lincRNA
Source: RNAcentral